UACGAAGGGUGCAAGCGUUAUUCGGAGUUACUGGGCGUAAAGAGCAUGUAGGCGGUUCUUUAAGUCGCUUGUUAAAUUUCCCGGCUUAACCGGGAAUCUGCGGGCGAUACUGGAGGGCUAGAGUGUAAGAGAGAGAAGUGGAAUUCUCGGAGUAGCGGUAAAAUGCGUAGAUCUCGAGAGGAACACCGAUGGCGAAGGCAGCUUCUUGGCUUACAACUGACGCUAAAGUGCGAAAGCGUGGGGAGCAAACAGGAUUAGAUACCCUGGUAGUCCACGCCGUAAACGAUGAUCACUGGAUAUGGGUUUUGCAUAGCAGAGCCUGUGUCGAAGCUAACGCGUUAAGUGAUCCGCCUGGGGAGUACGGUCGCAAGAUUAAAACUCAAAGAAAUUGACGGGGGUCCGCACAAGCGGUGGAACAUGUGGUUUAAUUCGACACUACGCGAGGAACCUUACCUGGGCUUGACAUGUAACUGCUACUGGUAGAAAUACUGGGUUUUGUAGAAAUACAGACGGUUACACAGGUGCUGCAUGGCUGUCGUCAGCUCGUGUCGUGAGAUGUUGGGUUAAGUCCUUUAACGAGCGCAACCCUUGUCGUCAGUUGCUAGUCUAGAAAUAGAAGCACUCUGGCGAGACUGCCGAGGAAACUCGGAGGAAGGUGGGGAUGACGUCAAGUCCUCAUGGCCCUUAUGUCCAGGGCGACACACGUGUUACAAUGGCGAGUACAAAGGGAUGCAAUACCGCGAGGUGGAGCAAAUCUCAUAAAAUUCGUCUAAGUUCAGAUUGCAGUCUGCAACUCGACUGCAUGAAGUUGAAAUCGCUAGUAAUCGCGCAUCAGAGGGGCGCGGUGAAUACGUUCUCGGACCU
Molecule: ribosomal RNA, 864 nt
Filed under: uncultured bacterium
Lineage: Bacteria
Description: SSU rRNA
Rfam family: Bacterial small subunit ribosomal RNA
Source: RNAcentral